GGUUAAACAGACCAAAAGCCUUCAAAGCUUUAAGUAGAAGUGGAAACCCUCUAAUUUCUGAUAAGAUUUG
This 70-nucleotide transfer RNA is filed under the name Hexanchus griseus. RNAcentral describes it as "tRNA-Trp". Lineage: Eukaryota; Metazoa; Chordata; Chondrichthyes; Hexanchiformes; Hexanchidae. The record is from RNAcentral.